CCAUCCAUCCGUCGGCUGGCAGACCUCCCUUCUCCCCCUCUUCCUCUCCCUCUCCAUCAGCUCGCGCGCGAGUAGGGCUUCCCCGCACCAGUCGCCCCUCGCGCCGCACCCAACUUGCCUCCAACGCAACCAGCUGCCACCCGAGCUCAUCUCCAAAUCGCCGCGCACUCCCCUCCCCCAAAUCUCUGCGCACUCCUCGAUCUCCUCCAAAUCUCCGCGCACCUUCCUCUUCCAAAAUCGACGCACCCUCCUGUCCAUCGAAUCGCAUCCAGACUUUCUCAUCUAUGCCUCUGAUGCCGGCACCGCCGGGUUGACGUCCGGCUGUAGCCCCUAGCACGGACGAGACGAGCUGCAGCAACUCCGCCGCUGUCUCCUGCUGCAUAAGUCGUCCAGCACCAAUCGCCGCUUUGCUGCCUCCGCCCAAAUCUCCUGUGGCCUCGCCUCACAUUAUCUUUCUCCUUGCGGCCACUCCGACUGCCGAUGCCGCCGCUUUCUACUUCUGCAAGCCCACCACCGAACACCCAGAUCCUGCUGCUGUGAACGAGCUCCUGCCUGCUGCUGCUGUGAACGAGCUCCUCCUGAUUUCAGUGAUCUGCUGCUGAUGUGUACUGUUUGGAGGAGAGCAAUUAGUUUGAGCAAUAUAACGAUCUACAAAAAAAUGGAGGCAGCACAAUAGAUCAUAUUCUAUGCCGCCAUAUCCAUGUAUGAGGUACCAUGUCAAGGAGUUCAAGAAAGGGUCACCUCGCCACGCUCAAGAAUUGUUCAACAAGUACCAUUCGAGGCUGCAGAUCAUAUUCUAUGCCGCCAUAUCCAUGUAUGAGGUACCAUGUCAAGGAGUUCAAGAAAGGGUCACCUCGCCACGCUCAAGAAUUGUUCAACAAGUACCAUUCGAGGCUGCGAAACGUGAUUGAACGUACUUUUGGGUGCGCAAAAAGUAAGUGGCAACUCUUGAAUGGCAUACCUCACUACCCGCUAAUAAAGCAAUCUCAACUUGUUAUGGCUGCCUGUGCACUCCACAACUAUGUGCAUGAGUUGGAGGGACGAAAACGUCCAGCGAGGUACAGGCAACGUGGUUUUGGUGGCAGUUUGGGUCAAGUGCUUGCAAUGGCGUUAAGCCCGGACGCGACUACAGAAGAAAUCCGAGAUUGGAUUACUCUGGGACUUCCUCUCCUUGAGAAGAAAUGAAUGGUUUAUGCAAGGGACUGGGAGGACGGAGAGUAGGGAGUUGCUGGAUGAGGAAGGUUGAAAAUGGCUUUUGGAUUUUGUUUACGUGAUUGAUUAGUAAUGAAGAGGGUGGAAGAUGGCUUUUGGCUGGAUGAUGAAUUUGCCUUCUUACUGUGUGUACUAAUUCAAAUUAGUUGUUUAGAGAAUUAAUUAACUCAUGCAUUGGGAAUUUAUCUAGGAGAUGGCUGUACAGACCUUAACCAUUGGGUACUUAGUGGUAAUUAUUACUUAGAAUGGCUGUGGUUGUAAUGCAACUGUUUGUAUGUGAAGGGACCUUUGAUGGGUCAUGUUGUUUGAGUCUAUUUGAAUCUGAAAUAGAAUUCUAGUUGGUGCCAUUUGUUGAA
Panicum virgatum (switchgrass) is the source of this 1568-nucleotide long non-coding RNA. RefSeq lists it as uncharacterized. The transcript is spliced from 4 exons. Lineage: Eukaryota; Viridiplantae; Streptophyta; Magnoliopsida; Poales; Poaceae. The record is from RefSeq and is a predicted model, not a curated record.